AAUAGAUACCCGGGUAGUCCACGCCGUAAACGAUGAGUGCUAGGUGUUAGAGGGUUUCCGCCCUUUAGUGCUGCAGCUAACGCAUUAAGCACUCCGCCUGGGGAGUACGGCCGCAAGGCUGAAACUCAAAGGAAUUGACGGGGGCCCGCACAAGCGGUGGAGCAUGUGGUUUAAUUCGAAGCAACGCGAAGAACCUUACCAGGUCUUGACAUCCUCUGCUAUUUCUAGAGAUAGAAGGUUCCCCUUCGGGGGACGGAGUGACAGGUGGUGCAUGGUUGUCGUCAGCUCGCGUCGUGAGAUGUUGGGUUAAGUCCCGCAACGAGCGCAACCCUUGACCUUAGUUGCCAGCAUUCAGUUGGGCACUCUAAGGUGACUGCCGUGACAAACCGGAGGAAGGUGGGGAUGACGUCAAAUCAUCAUGCCCCUUAUGACCUGGGCUACACACGUGCUACAAUGGACGGUACAAAGGGCUGCGAAACCGCGAGGUGGAGCCAAAUCCCAGAAAACCGUUCUCAGUUCGGAUUGCAGG
This 529-nucleotide ribosomal RNA is filed under the name uncultured bacterium. RNAcentral describes it as "bacterial SSU rRNA". It matches the Rfam family "Bacterial small subunit ribosomal RNA", at positions 777 to 1304 of the family's 1533-position model. The record is from RNAcentral.